RNAcentral lists this ribosomal RNA (548 nucleotides) under uncultured bacterium. RNAcentral describes it as "bacterial SSU rRNA". It matches the Rfam family "Bacterial small subunit ribosomal RNA", at positions 358 to 916 of the family's 1533-position model. The record is from RNAcentral.
GGAAUAUUGCGCAAUGGACGAAAGUCUGACGCAGCGACGCCUCGUGAGGGACGGAGGUCUUCGGAUUGUAAACCUCUUUCAGCAGGGACGAAGCGAAAGUGACGGUACCUGCAGAAGAAGCACCGGCUAACUAUGUGCCAGCAGCCGCGGUAAUACAUAGGGUGCAAGCGUUGUCCGGAUUUAUUGGGCGUAAAGAGUUCGUAGGCGGUUUCUCGCGUCGGAUGUGAAAACUCAGGGCUCAACCCUGAGCCUGCAUUCGAUACGGGGAAACUUGAGGACGGCAGGGGAGACUGGAACUCCUGGUGUAGCGGUGGAAUGCGCAGAUAUCAGGAAGAACACCAAUGGCGAAGGCAGGUCUCUGGGCCGAUUCUGACGCUGAGGAACGAAAGCGUGGGGAGCAAACAGGAUUAGAUACCCUGGUAGUCCACGCCGUAAACGAUGGACGCUAGGUGUGGGGAACAUUCCACGUUCUCUGCGCCGCAGCUAACGCAUUAAGCGUCCCGCCUGGGGAGUACGACCGCAAGGUUAAAACUCAAAUGAAUUGACGG